UCUGGUUGAUCCUGCCAGUAGUCAUAUGCUUGUCUCAAAGAUUAAGCCAUGCAUGUCUAAGUAUAAAUAGUAUACAGUGAAACUGCGAAUGGCUCAUUAAAACAGUUAUAGUUUAUUUGAUAAUUGACAAUUACAUGGAUAACCGUGGUAAUUCUAGAGCUAAUACAUGCUUAAACGCCCGACUUUAUGGAAGGGUGGUAUUUAUUAGACUGAAGCCAAUAUUCCUUGUGUCUAUUGCGGUGAUUCAUAAUAACUGAUCGAAUCUCUUUUUGAGAUAAAUCAUUCAAGUUUCUGCCCUAUCAGCUUUCGAUGGUAGUGUAUUGGACUACCAUGGCAGUAACGGGUAACGAAGAAUUAGGGUUCGAUUUCGGAGAGGGAGCAUGAGAAACGGCUACCACAUCUAAGGAAGGCAGCAGGCGCGUAAAUUACCCAAUCCUGACUCAGGGAGGUAGUGACAAGAAAUAGCAAACCGGGAACCUCAUGGUUUCACGGUAUUGCAAUGAGAACAAUUUAAAACCCUUAGCGAGAAUCAAGUGGAGGACAAGUCUGGUGCCAGCACCCGCGGUAAUUCCAGCUCCACUAGCGUAUAUUAAAGUUGUUGCAGUUAAAAAGCUCGUAGUUGAACCUCUGUCUGGGGCUAGUUUUGGCUUUGGUCAGGCUAGUUCUAGGCAUCCGCCUACAAGACUUAGAGGGCAUUCAGUUGUUCACUAGGAGGAGUAGGCAUUUUACUUUGAAAAAAUUAGAGUGUUUAAGGCAGGCAAUCGCCCGCAUAUAUUAGCAUGGAAUAAUAGAAUAGGACACUUUUCCAUUUCGUUGGUUAUUGGAAUCGUGUAAUGAUUAAUAGGGACAGUUGUGGGCAUUUGUAUUUAAUUGUCAGAGGUGAAAUUCUUGGAUUUAUUAAAGACAAACUAACGCGAAAGCAUUUGCCAAGGAUGUUUUCAUUAAUCAAGAACGAAAGUUAGGGGAUCAAAGACGAUCAGAUACCGUCCUAGUCUUAACUAUAAACUAUUCCGACUCAAUGUUUGACUGGCUUAUAUAACCAGUUGAGCGUUGUAUGAGAAAUCAAAGUCUUUAGGUUCUGGGGGGAGUAUGGUCGCAAAGCUGAAACUUAAAGGAAUUGACGGAAGAGCACAACCAGGAGUGGAUUCUGCGGCUUAAUUUGACUCAACACGGGGAAACUUACCAGGUUAAAACAAUAGUGGGAUUGACAGUUUGAGAGCGCUUUCUUGAUUGGUUGGGUGGUGGUGCAUGGCCGUUCUUAGUUGGUGGAGUGAUUUGUCUGCUUAAUUGC
This 1291-nucleotide ribosomal RNA is filed under the name metagenome. Its description in RNAcentral is "SSU rRNA". It matches the Rfam family "Eukaryotic small subunit ribosomal RNA", at positions 1 to 1326 of the family's 1831-position model. The record is from RNAcentral.